RNAcentral lists this ribosomal RNA (400 nucleotides) under uncultured bacterium. RNAcentral's name for it is "bacterial SSU rRNA". It matches the Rfam family "Bacterial small subunit ribosomal RNA", at positions 355 to 747 of the family's 1533-position model. The record is from RNAcentral.
UGGGGAAUUUUGGACAAUGGGCGAAAGCCUGAUCCAGCCAUGCCGCGUGAGUGAAGAAGGCCUUCGGGUUGUAAAGCUCUUUCGGCCGGGACGAAAUCGCCGUUUCUAAUACAGACGGUGGAUGACGGUACCGGAAUAAGAAGCACCGGCUAACUACGUGCCAGCAGCCGCGGUAAUACGUAGGGUGCGAGCGUUAAUCGGAAUUACUGGGCGUAAAGCGUGCGCAGGCGGUUAUGAAAGACAGGCGUGAAAUCCCCGGGCUUAACCUGGGAACGGCGCUUGUGACUCCAUGACUCGAGUACGGCAGAGGGGGGUGGAAUUCCACGUGUAGCAGUGAAAUGCGUAGAGAUGUGGAGGAACACCGAUGGCGAAGGCAGCCCCCUGGGCCGAUACUGACGCU